This 422-nucleotide ribosomal RNA is filed under the name uncultured Glomeromycotina. RNAcentral describes it as "SSU rRNA". It matches the Rfam family "Eukaryotic small subunit ribosomal RNA", at positions 672 to 1092 of the family's 1831-position model. The record is from RNAcentral. Lineage: Eukaryota; Fungi; Glomeromycota.
UGGUAUGACUGGUCUCGCUGAUCCCUCCUUUCUGAAGAACUGUAAUGUCAUUAAUUUGGUGUUGCAGGGAAACAGGACUGUUACUUUGAAAAAAUUAGAGUGUUUAAAGCGGGCUAACGCUUGAAUACAUUAGCAUGGAAUAAUGAAAUAGGACGUUCAAACCUAUUUUGUUGGUUUCUAGGAUUGACGUAAUGAUUAAUAGGGAUAGUUGGGGGCAUUAGUAUUCAAUUGUCAGAGGUGAAAUUCUUGGAUUUAUUGAAGACUAACUACUGCGAAAGCAUUUGCCAAGGAUGUUUUCAUUAAUCAAGAACGAAAGUUAGGGGAUCGAAGACGAUCAGAUACCGUCGUAGUCUUAACCAUAAACUAUGCCGACUAGGGAUCGGAUGAUGUUAAUUUUUUAAUGACUCAUUCGGCGCCUUACG